UUGGGGAACUCGGCAAAUUGCCCCCGUAACUUCGGGAGAAGGGGGGCCUCCGCUGGUGAUCAGACUUGCUUUGUGAGCUGGUGGGGGUCGCAGAGGCCAGGGGGAAGCGACUGUUUACUAAAAACACAGGUCCGUGCGAAGUCGUAAGACGAUGUAUACGGACUGACGCCUGCCCGGUGCUGGAACGUUAAGGGGACCGGUUAGCGCACUUCGGUGUGCGAGGCUGAGAACUUAAGCGCCAGUAAACGGCGGUGGUAACUAUAACCAUCCUAAGGUAGCGAAAUUCCUUGUCGGGUAAGUUCCGACCUGCACGAAUGGCGUAACGACUUCCCCGCUGUCUCAACCGCAGACCCGGCGAAAUUGCACUACGAGUAAAGAUGCUCGUUACGCGCAGCAGGACGGAAAGACCCCGGGACCUUCACUACAGCUUGACAUUGGCGUUUGGAACGUCUUGUGUAGGAUAGGUGGGAGACUGUGAAGCUGUCACGCUAGUGGCGGUGGAGUCAUUGGUGAAAUACCACUCUGGUCGUUUUGAACGUCUAACUUCGGUCCGUGAUCCGGAUCAGGGACAGUGUCUGGUGGGUAGUUAACUGGGGCGGUUGCCUCCUAAAGAGUAACGGAGGCGCCCAAAGGUUCCCUCAGCCUGGUUGGUAAUCAGGUGUCGAGUGUAAGUGCACAAGGGAGCUUGACUGUGAGACCGACGGGUCGAGCAGGAGCGAAAGCUGGGACUAGUGAUCCGGCGGUGGCAUGUGGAAGCGCCGUCGCUCAACGGCUAAAAGGUACCCCGGGGAUAACAGGCUGAUCUUCCCCAAGAGUCCAUAUCGACGGGAUGGUUUGGCACCUCGAUGUCGGCUCGUCGCAUCCUGGGGCUGGAGUAGGUCCCAAGGGUUGGGCUGUUCGCCCAUUAAAGCGGUACGCGAGCUGGGUUUAGAACGUCGCGAGACAGUUCGGUCCCUAUCCGCUGCGCGCGCAGGAGACUUGAAAGGAGCUGUCCCUACUACGAGAGGACCGGGACGGACGAACCUCUGGUGUGCCAGUUGUUCCGCCAGGAGCAUGGCUGGUUGGCUACGUUCGGAAGGGAUAACCGCUGAAAGCAUCUAAGCGGGAAGCUCGCCUUGAGAUGAGGUCUCCCACCACGUGAGUGGGUAAGGCCCCCGGGAGACGACCGGGUUGAUAGGCCGGAGGUGGAAGCAUGGUAACGUGUGGAGCUGACCGGUACUAAUAGGCCGAGGACUUGACCAC
Molecule: ribosomal RNA, 1242 nt
Filed under: metagenome
Description: bacterial LSU rRNA
Rfam family: Bacterial large subunit ribosomal RNA
Source: RNAcentral